UUUUCUCAACCCAUGACCUUGUAACUAUCUUACCCUGUUCAGAGUAUGUGAGGAUUGAUUUCAUCUCUACGUUUCUAUCUAAGUUUGGGGUUGCUGUUGGAAUAACAACCUUUAAGUUUGGGGUAGCUUUGCAGUAAGUGAAUGUAGUCUAAAAAAAAAUAAAAAAAUAAAAAAAUAAAAAAAUAAAAAAAUAAAAAAAUAAAAAAAUAAAAAAAUAAAAACAACAACAACAUGAAAAGAAAGAAAGAAAAAAGCGAAAAACAAUAAAAGAACAGCUUUUGAAAAAUGCUACAUUCACUAUAGAAAAAAAAGGAAAAGAGGAUUACAAAACCCUACAGGAAUAAUAGGAAAGAAACGUAGUGAGAGAACGAUUUCAUAUACUCUGAACCAAAAACCUUUGUUCAAAUUUCACACCCCACCUAAACCAAAGCCCCGUUACAACCCAAAAGACCUCAAAAAGUGUGUGUGAUUGUACAUGUUGAUAGGAUGAGAGAAUUUAUUCAAACUUCUGAUUUGAUAUUGCAUAUUGUGAUUUGAGAGUGAUAACAUUUUAAC
RNAcentral lists this long non-coding RNA (555 nucleotides) under Lathyrus oleraceus (garden pea). RNAcentral's name for it is "Pisum sativum (pea) long non-coding RNA (PSAT_LNC023462)". Lineage: Eukaryota; Viridiplantae; Streptophyta; Magnoliopsida; Fabales; Fabaceae. The record is from RNAcentral.